Molecule: ribosomal RNA, 376 nt
Filed under: uncultured eukaryote
Lineage: Eukaryota
Description: bacterial SSU rRNA
Rfam family: Bacterial small subunit ribosomal RNA
Source: RNAcentral
UGAACGCUAGCGGUAUGCUUCAACACAUGCAAGUCGUACGGGAAAGAAAUUUUUAGUGGCGAACGGGUGAGUAACGCGUGAGAAUUUGCCUUUAGGAAGAGGAUAACAAUUAGAAAUCUUUGCUAAAACUCUAUAUGCCAGUUAAAUUGGUGAAAAAGAAAUUUGCCUAAAGAGAAGCUCGCGUCUGAUUAGCUAGUUGGUGGGGUAAAGGCUUACCAAGGCGACGAUCAGUAGCUGGUCUGAGAGGACGAUCAGCCACACUGGAACUGAGACACGGUCCAGACUCCUACGGGAGGCAGCAGUGAGGAAUUUUCUGCAAUGGGCGAAAGCCUGACAGAGCAAUACCGCGUGAGGGAUGAAGGCCUACGGGUUGUAA